CCUACGGGUGGCAGCAGUAGGGAAUAUUGCUCAAUGGGGGAAACCCUGAAGCAGCAACGCCGCGUGGAGGAUGAAGGUUUUCGGAUUGUAAACUCCUUUUGUUAGAGAAGAUAAUGACGGUAUCUAACGAAUAAGCACCGGCUAACUACGUGCCAGCAGCCGCGGUUAUACGGAGGGUGCAAGCGUUACUCGGAAUCACUGGGCGUAAAGAGCGCGUAGGCGGGAUAGCAAGUCAGAUGUGAAAUCCUAUGGCUUAACCAUAGAACUGCAUUUGAAACUGCUAUUCUAGAGUAUGGGAGAGGUAGGUGGAAUUCUUGGUGUAGGGGUAAAAUGCGUAGAGAUCAAGAGGAAUACUCAUUGCGAAGGCGGCCUGCUAGAACAUAACUGACGCUGAUGCGCGAAAGCGUGGGGAGCAAACAGGAUUAGAUACCCCAGUAGUC
RNAcentral lists this ribosomal RNA (440 nucleotides) under uncultured bacterium. Its description in RNAcentral is "partial 16S ribosomal RNA". It matches the Rfam family "Bacterial small subunit ribosomal RNA", at positions 338 to 795 of the family's 1533-position model. The record is from RNAcentral.